This 2742-nucleotide ribosomal RNA is filed under the name Emiliania huxleyi. RNAcentral's name for it is "partial Bacterial large subunit ribosomal RNA". It matches the Rfam family "Bacterial large subunit ribosomal RNA". The record is from RNAcentral. Lineage: Eukaryota; Haptophyta; Isochrysidales; Noelaerhabdaceae.
GUCAAGCGAUGAAGCGCAUACGGUGGAUGCCUAGGCAGUCAGAGGCGAUGAAAGACGUGGAAGCCUGCGAUAAGGUUCGGCGAGGUGGCAAACGACCUGCGACCCGGACAUCUCUGAAUGGGGAAACCCACCCAAGGUAACUUGGGUAUCUCAUGUUGAAUAUAUAGACAUGAGAGGCGAACCGGGGGAACUGAAACAUCUAAGUACCCCGAGGAAAAGAAAUCAACCGAGAUUCCCCUAGUAGCGGCGAGCGAACGGGGACCAGCCCUUAAGCAACACAACUGGUAGGUGAACAGAUUGGGAAAUCUGGCCAUAGUGGGUGAUAGCCCCGUAACCGAAACCUGAGUGUUGUGAAAUCGAGUAGGUCGAGGCACGUGAAACCUUGACUGAAGACGGGGGGACCAUCCUCCAAGGCUAAAUACUCCUGACUGACCGAUAGUGAACCAGUACCGUGAGGGAAAGGCGAAAAGAACCCCGGAGAGGGGAGUGAAAUAGAUCCUGAAACCGUAUGCGUACAAGCAGUGGGAGCCAACUUGUUUGGUGACCGCGUACCUUUUGUAUAAUGGGUCAGCGACUUAUUUUCAGUGGCGAGCUUAACCGUAUAGGGGAGGCGUAGAGAAAUCGAGUCUUAACUGGGCGACCAGUCGCUGGAAAUAGACCCGAAACCGGGCGAUCUAUCCAUGAGCAGGUUGAAGGUUGAGUAACAUCAACUGGAGGACCGAACCAGGAUCUGUUGAAAAAGAUUUGGAUGACUUGUGGAUCGGAGUGAAAGGCUAAUCAAGCCCGGAGAUAGCUGGUUCUCCUCGAAAGCUAUUUAGGUAGCGCCUCACGUAUCACCGCCGGGGGUAGAGCACUGUUUCGGCUAGGGGGUCAUCCCGACUUACCAACCCGAGGCAAACUCCGAAUACCGGUGAGUGCAAGCGUGGGAGACACACAGCGGGUGCUAACGUCCGUUGUGAAAAGGGAAACAACCCAGACCGUCAGCUAAGGUCCCGAAAUCCUGGUUAAGUGGGAAACGAUGUGGGAAGGCUUAGACAGCUAGGAGGUUGGCUUAGAAGCAGCCAUCCUUUAAAGAAAGCGUAAUAGCUCACUAGUCGAGUCGGCCUGCGCGGAAGAUGUAACGGGGCUCAAACCAGGUACCGAAGCUACGGGUUCGCCGAAUGGCGAGCGGUAGAGGAGCGUCGUGUAAGCCGAUGAAGGUGUGUUGAGAAGCAUGCUGGAGGUAUCACGAGUGCGAAUGCUGACAUGAGUAACGACAAGGGGAGUGAAAAACUCCCCCGCCGGAAGACCAAGGGUUUCUGUUCGACGCUAAUCGGAGCAGAGUGAGUCGGCCCCUAAGGCGAGGCCGAAAGGCGUAGUCGAUGGGAAACGGGUCAAUAUUCCCGUACCUCACAGUAUUGCGAUGGGGGGACGAAGAAGGCUAGGUGAGCCAGGCGUUGGUUGUCCUGGUGAAAGCCGGUAGGCUGAGGAUUCAGGUAAAUCCGGAUCCUUAAGGCCGAGAGGCGAGACGAACUGACUACGGUCAGGAAGUCAUCGAUGCCACGCUUCCAGGAAAAGCCUCUAAGCUUCAGAUACUGUGAGACCGUACCCCAAACCGACACAGGUGGUCAGGUAGAGAAUACCAAGGCGCUUGAGAGAACUCGGGUGAAGGAACUCGGCAAAAUUGUACCGUAACUUCGGGAGAAGGUACGCCUCUGUUUGUGAACACUUCGCGUGGUAAGCAAAUGGAGGCCGCAGUGACCAGGUGGCUGGGACUGUUUAUUAAAAACACAGCACUCUGCAAACUCGUAAGAGGACGUAUAGGGUGUGACACCUGCCCGGUGCCGGAAGGUUAAUUGAUGGGGUUAGUUUUCGGACGAAGCUCUUGAUCGAAGCCCCGGUAAACGGCGGCCGUAACGAUAACGGUCCUAAGGUAGCGAAAUUCCUUGUCGGGUAAGUUCCGACCCGCACGAAAGGUGUAACGAUCUGCGUACUGUCUCGGAGAGAGACUCGGCGAAAUAGACUUGUCUGUGAAGAUGCGGACUACCUGCACCUGGACAAAAAGACCCUAUGAAGCUUUACUGUAGCUUGAGAUUGGCUCCGGGCUUUAUUUGCGCAGGAUAGGUGGGAGGCGUUGAAAAUUUCCUUGCGGGGGAAUUUGAGCCAUUGGUGAGAUACCACUCUAAUAAAGCUAGGAUUCUAACCCUAUACCGUUAUCCGGUUAGGGAACAGUCUCAGGUGGUCAGUUUGACUGGGGCGGUCGCCUCCUAAAAGGUAACGGAGGCGUGCAAAGGUUUCCUCAGACUGGUCGGAAAUCAGUCGAAGAGUGUAAAGGCAUAAGGAAGCUUGAUUGUGAGACCUACAAGUCGAACAAAGACGAAAGUCGGCCUUAGUGAUCCGGCGGUACCAAGUGGAAGGGCCGUCGCUCAACGGAUAAAAGUUACUCUAGGGAUAACAGGCUGAUCUCCCCCAAGAGCUCACAUCGACGGGGGGGUUUGGCACCUCGAUGUCGGCUCGUCACAUCCUGGGGCUGGAGAAGGUCCCAAGGGUUCGGCUGUUCGCCGAUUAAAGUGGUACGUGAGCUGGGUUUAAAACGUCGUGAGACAGUUUGGUCCCUAUCUGCCGUGGGCGUUGGAGAUUUGAGAAGCGCUGCUCCUAGUACGAGAGGACCGGAGUGGACGUACCUCUGGUGUUCCGGUUGUCACGCCAGUGGCAUUGCCGGGUAGCUAUGUACGGACGGGAUAACCGCUGAAAGCAUCUAAG